This 492-nucleotide ribosomal RNA is filed under the name uncultured bacterium. RNAcentral's name for it is "partial 16S ribosomal RNA". It matches the Rfam family "Bacterial small subunit ribosomal RNA", at positions 29 to 507 of the family's 1533-position model. The record is from RNAcentral.
AGUGAACGCUGGCGGUAGGCCUAACACAUGCAAGUCGAACGGCAGCACAGUAAGAGCUUGCUCUUACGGGUGGCGAGUGGCGGACGGGUGAGGAAUACAUCGGAAUCUACUUUUUCGUGGGGGAUAACGGAGGGAAACUUACGCUAAUACCGCAUACGACCUACGGGUGAAAGCAGGGGAUCUUCGGGCCUUUCGCGAUUGAAUGAGCCGAUGUCGGAUUAGCUAGUUGGCGGGGUAAAGGCCCACCAAGGCGACGAUCCGUAGCUGGUCUGAGAGGAUGAUCAGCCACACUGGAACUGAGACACGGUCCAGACUCCUACGGGAGGCAGCAGUGGGGAAUAUUGGACAAUGGGCGCAAGCCUGAUCCAGCAAUACCGCGUGGGUGAAGAAGGCCUUCGGGUUGUAAAGCCCUUUUGUUGGGAAAGAAAAGCAGCAGGUUAAUCCCCCGCUGUUCUGACGGUACCCAAAGAAUAAGCACCGGCUAACUUCGUG